RNAcentral lists this ribosomal RNA (478 nucleotides) under uncultured bacterium. RNAcentral describes it as "partial 16S ribosomal RNA". It matches the Rfam family "Bacterial small subunit ribosomal RNA", at positions 28 to 523 of the family's 1533-position model. The record is from RNAcentral.
GACGAACGCUGGCGGCGUGCUUAACACAUGCAAGUCGAGCGAUGAAGUUCCUUCGGGAAUGGAUUAGCGGCGGACGGGUGAGUAACACGUGGGUAACCUGCCUCAUAGAGGGGAAUAGCCUUCCGAAAGGAAGAUUAAUACCGCAUAAGAUUGUAGUAUCGCAUGAUAUAGCAAUUAAAGGAGUAAUCCGCUAUGAGAUGGACCCGCGUCGCAUUAGCUAGUUGGUGAGGUAACGGCCCACCAAGGCGACGAUGCGUAGCCGACCUGAGAGGGUGAUCGGCCACAUUGGGACUGAGACACGGCCCAGACUCCUACGGGAGGCAGCAGUGGGGAAUAUUGCACAAUGGGGGAAACCCUGAUGCAGCAACGCCGCGUGAGUGAUGACGGUCUUCGGAUUGUAAAGCUCUGUCUUCAGGGACGAUAAUGACGGUACCUGAGGAGGAAGCCACGGCUAACUACGUGCCAGCCGCCGCCGUAA